GGCAUUGUGGCAUAGUGGUUUGAGCCUUGGACUAUGACUCUGAAGACCAGGGUUCAAUUCUCCGCUUGGCCA
This is a non-coding RNA of Phrynosoma platyrhinos (Desert horned lizard), 72 nucleotides long. NCBI's taxonomy places the organism in Eukaryota, Metazoa, Chordata, Lepidosauria, Squamata, Phrynosomatidae. The record is from the annotation of a GenBank genome assembly.